Anastrepha obliqua is the source of this 612-nucleotide long non-coding RNA. RefSeq lists it as uncharacterized. The record is from RefSeq and is a predicted model, not a curated record. NCBI's taxonomy places the organism in Eukaryota, Metazoa, Arthropoda, Insecta, Diptera, Tephritidae. The transcript has 2 exons.
CACCAAGUAACGGGCUGGGAACACGCAAAAGCUCAAAUAGGCACUAGUAUACAAAACAUGCCAAGCAAAUAAACAUUCACCAUUUGUAGGUAUUGACUGAUGUUGGCAUGUAUGAGUAGGAAUGGUUAUGGGCGAAGAUGAUGUCUGUAUUCUCGCCACAGUGGUUAUAGGUAUGUCGUCAGUGUUAACGUCACGUGGCUCAUAAACAAAUGGAAUGCGUGUAUCGAUUGAAGAGGCGAAAAUCAGCACAAGUUCGUUGUAGAAAAAAACGAGAAGUGCGGACGAAAACACACAAAGAAAAAUCCGGAGUUUCAUUUGAAGUAUUUAAUUACAAUUGACGAAAUGAUUGCAUUGCAUUUGAAAAUUAUAUUUUUUGUUAACUGAAGGGGGCGAAUGGACCAACUUUAAGCUGAUAUAUUUACAUAUGUACAUACAACUGCAGCGGCAACAACAACUAAAAAUGUCGGCUUUUAUUUCCGGCCAAGACCUGUCACUUUAGCAGUACAUUUAAUAUUACGUAUGCAUAUAUAAAACAAACAAUAACACUAACAACCACUGGCACACGGCACAGUGCAUACAGAAAAUAAAGCAAUACUUGAGAUUUCUCAACAA